RNAcentral lists this ribosomal RNA (486 nucleotides) under uncultured soil bacterium. RNAcentral describes it as "bacterial SSU rRNA". It matches the Rfam family "Bacterial small subunit ribosomal RNA", at positions 26 to 518 of the family's 1533-position model. The record is from RNAcentral.
AGGACGAACGCUGGCGGCGUGCUUAACACAUGCAAGUCGAGCGGAAAGGCCUUUCGGGGUACUCGAGCGGCGAACGGGUGAGUAACACGUGAGUAAUCUGCCCAUCGCUUCAGGAUAGCCAUCGGAAACGGUGAUUAAUACUGGAUAUGACAUUCCUUCGCAUGUUGGGUUGUGGAAAGUUUUUUCGGCGGUGGAUGUGCUCGCGGCCUAUCAGCUUGUUGGUGGGGUAAUGGCCUACCAAGGCUUUGACGGGUAGCCGGCCUGAGAGGGUGACCGGCCACACUGGGACUGAGACACGGCCCAGACUCCUACGGGAGGCAGCAGUGGGGAAUAUUGGACAAUGGGCGGAAGCCUGAUCCAGCAACGCCGCGUGAGGAUGACGGCCUUCGGGUUGUAAACCUCUUCAGCACAGACGAAGUUUUGCUUUUUUGGUGUAAGUGACGGUAUGUGCAGAAGAAGGACCGGCAACUACGUGCCAGCAGCCGC